CCACACCUCUGCCUGUUUUAUUCUUUUCAUAAACUUCACUGGCUUUGGGCAUGUGAUGAAAUUCACUCAUCUUCUAUUGGUUGUUUCUCCCCAUGAAAGGUGAACCACACAUUCCUUGGAAACUGAUAAAUGUCUACAACAGCUUCUGGUACCCAGUGUCUCAGUCACUUUACAAAGAUCAUGGAUGUACCUUCCAGUUUGCUUCGGGUUUGCAGCCACCACUCAGGAGACCCUGCAUUCCCUACUUGUCCCCCUUGCCAGCAAACAUCAGAGAGGAGCAGGCUGGAGCCAGAAGUAGCAGGCACUGGGCCUCAGCAGCUGACUGGCCAGGUGAGUUCCAUCGGCUGUGCGGUGGCUGGGAUCUAUUUUCUUCUGUACAUAAAGAUAAGCCGAGGGCUCCUUCCGAAAGCAAACACCCUUAAUUUGAGCCAUUGCCUCCCUAUGAUUCACCGGAUGGAAUUUACGAUGGGGCUUUACCCCUUCCUGUAAGAGUAGCAAAUGGGUCAAUCCUAAUAAGAAAUAUCAAUCCGUGACAGGUGCAUUUUGAAGACCACAGGACAAGGUUUCCUAAGAAGGCCACUGCCCUUUGAUAGUGUUUUGCCUGCGUGAGUGAACGAAGACUGGUUCUGAUGGGUUGAAAAGUCUUCCCGCUGGGAGCAAACCAAGUCUCUGCAUGUGCCAGUAUCUACAUUGCCCCUUUCAGCAGUGAGAAUCCAGACAAGACUUCACGAAUGCCUUGCCGGGCAGCUGGGGUGCAUUCAAAGCUGAGAAACUACCCUAAUCUUUGCAAAACCAACAAAGAUAAGCAACAGCUUUAGCCGGCUGAACCGAGCUGACGCUCUGCUGCACAAUGCCCUUGUGACCAUUAUCCCAGCUCUGACCGCCGCAUGGCACUGCUCGAGCAUGCUGGCAAUAUUUAACAAGCCAUCUGUCUUGUACCUGUUCCCACCGCAGAAGAGGCUUUGUCUGAAGCCUGUCCUCUUCCAGAAGGCUUGUCAUCUGCUCAACGGCAAGUGAAGCCCUCAUCCUGUUGUAUCAGUUUCAUAACUGCCCUAAGCGUGGUGUGUCUUACCGUGCAGCUUCAGUCAUAGGACAUCUCUGAAAGGGGGACCAGGACUGGUGUCUGCCUGUCUCUCUACUGUUAGUAUAUGUGAAAGCCAAGCUCUCCCUCAUCUUCUUUGGGGGAAAUGUUUUCAAACCUUGCAACUCCCUUUUUAUUUAUUUAUUUUUUAACUUCAUUCUUUCUUGGUUAGUCAUUGUUAAAUUGGGAUUUGCUCUCUGACUUCCCUGCUUUCUCUCAGAUAUAUAUAAAACAUUUCCUGUCAAAAUUUGUAAUUCAGACCUGCCAGGAGUUUAUAGAUUAGGUUAUCUAAAUAUUUGGCUGAGCCAGUUGAAUGUAAUGUUUCCAUAGAUGGAAAAGAGUCACAUACCAGCAUUUCCAUGAUUUCACAUGUUUGACCUCAUGAAAUUGCUAGAGUUUUCAAAAGAUAGAUACGUAACAGUUAAAUCUUUGUUUAAAAGUAUAUUGUGAAGAAAUUGGAGCUAAAGAUGUGGCUAGUGGUUAACAAUGCUUACUUCUUUCACAAAGGACCCAGGUGUGAUUACCAGCACCCAGUAUUGGUGGCUCACAGCCACCGGUGGCUCUAGUUGCAGGGCUGCAAUGCCUUCUUCUAAGACUCCACAGGCAUCUGUGCUUACAUGCACAUCCUCACCCAGAGAAACACACACAUACACAUAGUUAAAAAUAAAAUUGAUCUUCAGAACAAUAGAACAACAUUCUCAUUAAGGAGUCCGUUUCUCCCUUUAUCCUGUUUUGUCUGCCUGACUUUGAUGAUGACUUCGCAUACCCCAGCUUCUGUUUGGAGAUGUUGAAAUGAGGAUGAGACUGUGGCUGUCUCAGACACCUCCACAAUGUUAUCAGAAGGCAUCAGCUCAGGCGACAGAGACAUCCUUGAAAAGGACCUUCAGUCCUUGCCCUUAGACAGCAAACUGGGAUGACAACACAGUUGCUUCCUGCUGUGGCCUCCCUGGGACUGACUCCCAGGACAAGACUCUCAUUAUCUAUCCAGAAAACUGGGUUUGACCAGAGACAGACAGCAGGUAGACUCAUUGAUAUGGGUGUAGUUGAAAACACUUUGGCUUAGAGCUUAUAGUUUAUUCCAAAAGAUGUAUCCACUGCCAUUCCUCCAGCCAGUGGUCUAGCUUGAUGGCCUGCGUUCACUAGAACUAUACAGUGGGCAUGUCCUAAACACAGUCUUACUUAAAAGUAGACAGGGUGAAUGGAAGGAAUGUGUUAAUAGGUACCCAGAUCUCUUUCUAGAGAUUUGGAAAAUAGUCUCCUUUUAGAGGAAAGCAGCCUGACAAGCUUAAUUCCAACUGGGCAUGAAGGAAAGACUUUAGAUAAAACCAGAGGUAGGGGAACCUCUUCAGAUUCUCCCAUUCAUAAUCUCCAGGCAAAGGAAAUUCACUUUGGACAUAUAUUAGCAAACUGAGGGUCACAACUGGGAAUGCCAGAAAAGUGGAAUUUGUGCAUGGUUUCCUACCAUUUUUUAACGUUAAUUUUAGCAUGCAGUAUAUGUAUAGCAUGCAAUAGAAUGUUAAGUUCUAUUAUGUACCUUUGUGUGUGUGUGUGUGUGUGUGUGUGUGUGUGUGUGUGUGUGUGUGUCUGUCUGUCUGUCUGCCUGUCUGUCUGCCUGCCUGCCUGCCUGUCUGUGCUUUUCAUGA
This 2724-nucleotide long non-coding RNA is filed under the name Rattus norvegicus (Norway rat). RNAcentral describes it as "long non-coding RNA NONRATT033005". Lineage: Eukaryota; Metazoa; Chordata; Mammalia; Rodentia; Muridae. The record is from RNAcentral.